RNAcentral lists this ribosomal RNA (253 nucleotides) under uncultured bacterium. RNAcentral's name for it is "partial 16S ribosomal RNA". It matches the Rfam family "Bacterial small subunit ribosomal RNA", at positions 524 to 776 of the family's 1533-position model. The record is from RNAcentral.
UACAGAGGUCCCAAGCGUUGUUCGGAUUCACUGGGCGUAAAGGGCGCGUAGGUGGUUCUGUAUGUCUACCGUGAAAGCAUACAGCUCAACUGUAUUUUGUCGGUAGAAACUGCAGGACUUGAGGCUGGGAGGGGCUGGUGGAAUUCCCUGUGUAGCGGUGAAAUGCGUAGAUAUCGUAAGGAAGACCAGUGGCGAAGGCGGGUCUCUGGACAGUUCCUGACGCUGAGGCACGAAGGCCAGGGGAGCAAACGGG